AAGUCGUAACAAGGUUUCCGUAGGUGAACCUGCGGAAGGAUCAUUAACGUAUCUACUGGCGGCGGUCGUUCUCCCUGCUCCGGCUUCGGUCGUGCAGCGGGCGAUCGGCCCCGUCAAACCUUCACAAACCCACUGUGCACCUUUGCGGCGGAGGCUCCCGAGCGAGAGUUCGGUUGCCGAAGCCGCCCAACUAAACCCUCAGUCAAAAGAAUGUGAAGCGACCUCGAGUCGCCUAAUCAACAUAAUAACUUUCAACAACGGAUCUCUUGGCUCUC
RNAcentral lists this unclassified non-coding RNA (275 nucleotides) under air metagenome. RNAcentral describes it as "partial contains small subunit ribosomal RNA, internal transcribed spacer 1, and 5.8S ribosomal RNA". The stretch from base 1 to 46 matches the Rfam family "Eukaryotic small subunit ribosomal RNA", at positions 1786 to 1831 of the family's 1831-position model. The record is from RNAcentral.